Molecule: long non-coding RNA, 1242 nt
Filed under: Brassica napus (rape)
Lineage: Eukaryota; Viridiplantae; Streptophyta; Magnoliopsida; Brassicales; Brassicaceae
Description: long non-coding RNA (BNAP_LNC025449)
Source: RNAcentral
GGAAUUAAAUCACCAACGCUUUAGUAGUUAGUUUUCAAACAAGUUAACAAAAACUUUGAUGAACCUUUGUUUCUCACAGCAUACGACAAAAAUGCAACAGUGUUUUUUCUUAAACUUUUAGACAAAGCUAAACACCAGGCGGCUAUCAAAUUUUUUUUUCUGGAAGCUUCUUCUUAAUUAACCAAUCUUUUUUUUUUUUUUUUGCCUAUCUUAAUAUAUUAUUAAGGCUCAAAAAGUUAAUAAAAAAAGACAAACACUAGAUACAUACUAAAUCCGAAAGGCCAAAACCCAUAAACAAAGACCACAAAGGUCUACCAGGCCACACAAAUCCCUAGCCCAAAAAGAAAAAGUGAGGGUAAUCCAGUUCCACCGCUCUCCGCCAAACGUGUCGAAGACCUACACACCAAAGAGACGCGUGGCGAAGGAAUGAAUCGUCUCCAUCUCUACCGACUGGGAAUAGCCGUCGGGACCGCAUACCGUCACUCCACCGGAAACACGAGCCACCACCAUCAUCCACGACUUAAAGCUGUCACUGGAAUAGACAAAACACUUUACCACCGGAAUCCACCGGGACACUAACCACGACCACCGAAAAACACCUCCAACGACUGUAUUGGAGAUAUAGGAAUUCAAUAUCUUCCACACUCGCGCCAGAGCUUUGGAGAGCAUCAAUUGAUUGAAUCAAGAUCACAUCCAAACUCGGCCAUCAAACACGAGAACUAAACGUUUCUCACAGCUCGAACACUUCCAAGGGAACGAUAGCCGGCGACCUCCACCGGAGAAGACACGGCGCGGCCCCAGAGUCCAAAGCCAGAUAUCCAAUGAAUGGGAGAUGCGAUACUGGAAAUAAAAAACGGACAUGCAACUUCGAAAAGCCCACGAUGCCGGAACGGAAGCCAACCAAAAUGAUCAACAAAACAGAGCUUAAAAGCAAAUCCCGACCGAUGACGUGUCUGAAGGAACCCACCGUUGUCGGCCGGAAACUUAGAUCGGAAAAUUGAUACCAAAGGUUGAGAGAGGUCGGAGCUUUCUCUCUCUCGUCAACCCUCAUAUUUAGUGUCGUUUUAGAAAAAAAAAUUCGUUACAAAAUAAGUGUCGUUUUCGAUUUUUAAUGCAAAAUUUAUUAAUUUUAUGCAAAAUUUAUUUUUCUAUUGAUUGAAAUACGGUUAGGUGUAUAGGUAAUAGUGUUUUUUAUAGGAAAUGUACAAAAUUAAUUGUUUUCUUAAUCCGUGUGCUGUAACC